Molecule: ribosomal RNA, 463 nt
Filed under: uncultured bacterium
Lineage: Bacteria
Description: partial 16S ribosomal RNA
Rfam family: Bacterial small subunit ribosomal RNA
Source: RNAcentral
CUACGGGGUGCUGCAGUAGGGAAUCUUCCGCAAUGGACGAAAGUCUGACGGAGCAACGCCGCGUGAGUGAUGAAGGUUUUCGGAUCGUAAAACUCUGUUGUUAGGGAAGAACAAGUACGAGAGUAACUGCUCGUACCUUGACGGUACCUAACCAGAAAGCCACGGCAACUACGUGCCAGCAGCCGCGGUAAUACGUAGGUGGCAAGCGUUGUCCGGAAUUAUUGGGCGUAAAGCGCGCGCAGGCGGUCCUUUAAGUCUGAUGUGAAAGCCCACGGCUCAACCGUGGAGGGUCAUUGGAAACUGGGGGACUUGAGUGCGGAAGAGAAGAGUGGAAUUCCACGUGUAGCGGUGAAAUGCGUAGAGAUGUGGAGGAACACCAGUGGCGAAGGCGACUCUUUGGUCUGUAACUGACGCUGAGGCGCGAAAGCGUGGGGAGCAAACAGGAUUAGAUACCCCUGUAGUC